AAUGCUUAGGAAUCUGCCUAUUAGUGGGGGACAACAUUCCGAAAGGAAUGCUAAUACCGCAUACGCCCUACGGGGGAAAGCAGGGGAUCUUCGGACCUUGCGCUAAUAGAUGAGCCUAAGUCAGAUUAGCUAGUUGGUGGGGUAAAGGCCUACCAAGGCGACGAUCUGUAGCGGGUCUGAGAGGAUGAUCCGCCACACUGGGACUGAGACACGGCCCAGACUCCUACGGGAGGCAGCAGUGGGGAAUAUUGGACAAUGGGCGAAAGCCUGAUCCAGCCAUGCCGCGUGUGUGAAGAAGGCCUUUUGGUUGUAAAGCACUUUAAGCGAGGAGGAGGCUACCGAGAUUAAUACUCUUGGAUAGUGGACGUUACUCGCAGAAUAAGCACCGGCUAACUCUGUGCCAGCAGCCGCGGUAAUACAGAGGGUGCGAGCGUUAAUCGGAUUUACUGGGCGUAAAGCGUGCGUAGGCGGCUUCUUAAGUCGGAUGUGAAAUCCCUGAGCUUAACUUAGGAAUUGCAUUCGAUACUGGGAAGCUAGAGUAUGGGAGAGGAUGGUAGAAUUCCAGGUGUAGCGGUGAAAUGCGUAGAGAUCUGGAGG
RNAcentral lists this ribosomal RNA (597 nucleotides) under uncultured bacterium. RNAcentral's name for it is "bacterial SSU rRNA". It matches the Rfam family "Bacterial small subunit ribosomal RNA", at positions 112 to 704 of the family's 1533-position model. The record is from RNAcentral.